ACCUGUAACUUCUCUUACUCCUUGCUGA
Molecule: non-coding RNA, 28 nt
Filed under: Mus musculus (house mouse)
Lineage: Eukaryota; Metazoa; Chordata; Mammalia; Rodentia; Muridae
Source: RNAcentral